This is a non-coding RNA of Drosophila virilis, 5603 nucleotides long. Lineage: Eukaryota; Metazoa; Arthropoda; Insecta; Diptera; Drosophilidae. The record is from RefSeq and is a predicted model, not a curated record.
UUUUAUUGAUAUUAUAAUUACUCCUCUAAUUAUACUUACUUAUUAUUAUACCAAGGGCAAAUAAAUGCGUUGUAGCUUGUAAUAAUACACAUGGGUUAUUGCAGGUAAAGACACAUAAAUCAAGUUUCUUAUAAUGUUUAUUUAAACUCCAUCCGGUUACUUUCACACACAUUGGGUCAAUGACGGCUAUGAGGUGCUAGGACAAUUACCAAUAAAUAAUGUUUUUAAUUUUUGACAAAAAAAAAACAAUUAACUUCGGGCUUAUAAAAUUCUGUUGCCGAUCAAUUCUUCUGUGAACUAGCGCAGAUCGAUUUAUAUAAUGCUUAUGCAGUGUUUCCGUAAACGACCUAUGCAAAAACACCUGACAGGCCAACCGCAUUCGACAAUUAGUUUAGGCAAGACGACGCCAAGUGCCCGACGGCAUAUCAAGAGUGGCAGUUGUUAUGCACCUUUCGAUUGACACGAUCUAAAGGGGACACAGGCCAUCUGAGCACAUCUUGCAGUUUUAAGACAACAAAAGGUGUACUAAGAAAGUAUACAUACAAACGCCAAGGUACAGAUGUAUGAGUAACAGAUCGUCCAGCACGCAAAUUAAGAAUUCAAACCAGUUGUAGCCUCGACGACAAGUGGCUAAGGACGGGCCAAUGGACCGCUAUACUCGUUUUGUGGCAUGUGUCAACAUCAAGACGCGGCCACUGUGAACAUGUGGCUCGGACUGCCGACAUUUUUUGAUGGUACUUUUGACCGGUGGUUGCUUAACUUGUCGUUCUGCCGACUGUUGCACAUACAAAGUACUCAUUUGGCGCCAAAAUUUAAUGCGAAUGUGUGCUAAACCUUUACCUGCAGUAAGAAAUGUUUUUGAUUGUCAUUGUAACUGUGAUCUAGCUGUUUCAUGUUUUAUUCUGUCUACUUUUGAGGUUACCUACUGCGCUCCUGGCGCCAGCUCAAAAGUCUUGUGACUAAUCACUGCAAAAUAUAAAGAGAACUAUUCAACAAAAGAGAAAUAGACAAAUCCCAUUUAUGACAAGGACAAUAGACAAUGCCCAAAGAGCCAAAAACGAGGUAGUAAACGAACUGGAAAACAGGUACAACAAAUUUACCGAUAGCAGGUAUAUUUUCCAAGUCAUGUCAUGAGUAAUGCUUUCUACGAUACAUCGUUGAUUUAGGGCUUUUGAUACUCAAAACUUGUUAUGCCAUCGAUUUCAAAUAUACUUGAUUUAUGUGAAUUAAAAAGGCAGAAGUACAUAGUUGGUAAGGUAAAUAUAAUAUACUUAUGUUUUAAAAUCAUAUGGGUUCUAAAGAACAAAAAAAGGCCGGGACUGAGGUAUCGCUUGGAUCCACAUACAAAAAUAUUUGCGUAAUUUUAGGAGUCAACUUACUGGCAGUUUUAGCCCAAAGCGAUCUCGUUUUUCGUAUUAACAAUUUACUGCUGUAUUGCAUCUGUUCAAUUUAAAACUGUCUCGAAGGCACACAGUAGCCGAUAAGCAGGGUAGAAUGUUUGUCGACAUGUCGUUUAUGAAAAGUGCAAAAGAUUUGCCUCAUUUUCGCAUUUCUGCUUAUAAGCUUGGGGUGUUUUCCGUACUAAAAGCGUGGGAAAUAACCAACUUUUGAUCUUACGAAAAAGUAGUUCUACAUCACCUUCACAUUGCGUGCUUAGCUUUGGCGAACCAAGCUUGUGCGAUACUUACCUACUGGUUGGAAAUUUUUGAACAAUAGCGUAUAUUUUGGUAUCUAAUUGUGUAUCUGGGCGGUCGCAUGCAUUUGAUUGCCGCUGUUACUCUGGAACUUAGCUUGGGGCUGUCACGUUGUUCAGAGGAGCUUCUGCUUGUUCCUAAUAUAUGCAUGCGACUUCACAAUGAGCGUCUGAUAUAUUUAAUUAAUUGAUUGAGGCAUGCUUUAUAUGCCUGUCAGACAUAGGAUUCAUAUUGCAGCUGUACCCUCAAAAAACGCUACUUGCUUAAAAACAAAUUUUUCGUUUCGGUUUGUAGCUUGCAUUGCCAGCCGUAAAAACCCAUCUUGACUGAAACUCGAAAACCUGAGGUAAAAGUUUAACACAUGUGAAUAAGCGUACAAAUUGAAACCGAAAUUUCCCAACAAUAUUCUCACGCAAUCAGUUCAUAAACGAAGAAAAACUGUAAGGCACUGCCCCUGGCUUGUGUGCCCGUCGAAAAAUCAUAUUUUGCGUGCAUUUUGUAAGGUCGUAGGCAUAUGCAAGUACACUUUCUUUUCUGGUUCUGGUAACCAUAUGUGCCAUCAGUUGUCGACUGUGCAAUUUCCAUGAAAAAUCGCAAGAGUCAAGCUGACGCCGCCUGAAGGCCUCAAGGCACGGACAUGUGUUGUUUGUCGUUCCCAUCUCCGGGCAUAUACAUAGAUACAUACAUUUGAACGUCACACAGGGAAUAUACAUAUAUAUAUUAAAAUAUGUAUUGUCGCCAUCCUGUCUCUACGUAAAUAAGCUGUUUCGCAUUCUCAUACUUAUUUCCCCUCAUGCUGUCUUCGAGCUCGCAAUUAUAUUCAACGAACGAAGCACUUGCGGUCACACAUCUUAAAUAAUACUUGAGCUGUAUGGUAUACGAUCAAAAUGACAAAUUGGAGACUAGCUGUCGAAACCUAAGAUAUUUGCUUACAACAGGAUUUCGACUUGCUGACCAAGAAUACAUAUACUUCUUUAGAGUCGAAAAUGCUUCCUUCUGCUUGUUGUAUUUAAUUUGCCCAAAAGCAUUAUAAAUUUGUUACCCAUUUUUUAUCCCACUAAAAGAUGAGGUUACUUGAAACAGGAUAAUUGGGAUGCUUUGAAUCCCAUCAUGUAUCAAGAUUAAUUUGAUUUAAAAAUUUGGACACCCCAUACAACAAUUUUAAUGCUUAAGCAUUAAGCCCCACAAAACAAACUUGAAAUCGGCUUCAUUUGUAUUAGCGUGCAAGGCGGCUGCAUCAUACACGUUGCACUAGUUUAGUACAACUGAAAAUGUUGCUACAACUGAUUGUAACAUAUUUGAGCAGGUUGCACUGAGUGUGUUGUACAAGUUGUUUAUGCCUUUAAACGCGUGCUAUAUUGGCCGCGCAUAAGAAUAAGAAUUAUUUCUCAAUUUUGAAGUGCUUCUGUCGAACUAUAGAAGCAGACUGACGCAGACUGUAUGUGGGCAAUGGCAUCCAAGGCAAAUUUAUGAAUUUAGUUUCAAGGCCUACUUGAAAAAGAAAAUUAUUUUUUUAAUUAAAAGCAUGCUUGGAUGAAGAAAAUGUGCGUAUAAUUAGUGGAGCUACAAGAUUUUUUGUACGCUAUUUUGUUUCGAUAUGAGAGUCGAGUGGGAAGAAACUUUUUUUUUAGUGAAAAAAGAGAAGGAUUUAAAAUAUAAUAAACUUCUAAAGUAAAACCAUUUAUAGUUAGGUAACAAAAUUUCCUAUUUCAGAUUAUUGGGAUAUUUGGCUUAAUAUUAGAGGCGAAAGAUAUGCCCUUAUAAAUCAAGCUUGAGAAUAUUUUCAGUGUGCAAGUGGACUGCUAGCCGAGAUACUAAACAAACCCAAAAUAAAUUAAGGCCUAUUGAUAGUAAAUAUAUACAUAAAUAUAUUCAAGCGGAGAAUGGUGAAGGUAACGAGCCGUGUGGUUAAAUCUUUUGCAACGAAUGCAUUAGGUAAUUGUUUAUCAUUCCUUUUAGGCCAUUUAAAGCGGACGUGUUUCCAGAGAGCGGACACCGAACAUUGCGUUCUUUUCUGAAUUUGGAAAUAAAGAAAAUAUUCGGUCUGUGCCGGAGCUAUGACGAUUUUUUAGUGUUGGGUUAUACUCUGUUCUGACUUCAAAACCCAUACUAGAAAGCUCUUCUGUGAUUGUGGAAGCUAGGAUGCCACGCACCACUACUCUGAAAGACCUUUCACUCUGCAUCUGUUUCUGAAAUGAUUUUGACCAUUCCAGACCCACAUUUUUAUUUGAAUUUAGUAAUUGUAGAGUUAUUUACCACGAACUUGGCAAGAAUGUGGACGAUAACCAAGGGUCAUCAGCCGUUAGCGGAAGCUAAACAUUAUCUUAAAUAGUAAGAUAAACCCAUACAAAUGACUUUUGUUUAAACUUCGGGAUGUUGCUGAAGAAAUGACACGCAAGCCAGAUGCUUGCCAGUCUGUUGAAGAGUUCUUAGCUGCACGUAACCUAGUGACGUCACAUGUAUAAGCAUGUGCACAUUACGAUAAUGAUUGAAAGAAUAUAUUUAUAAAUGAUGUGCUGGUAUAAGUGUACAUAGUUGUCAAUAAAAUAAUAAUAAAAAUAAAAACAUACCUGGGGUUCCCAAUUGAAUACGUUCGGUUCCUAGCUUGCUUUAAUAGCUUUACGGCCGGACAUGUGGCCUGCGCACCUCACCUCCGUCUCCCACUGGUAUCAUCACCAACUGGUGUCUUUAUUUUUAAGUACCAUGUUAUAUAAUUGAAGACGAUGUAAUGUGGUUGUUAUAACAAAACUUUGUUUAUGUCGUCAAAGUUAUUGUUAUAAUUGGUUCACAAAGUGGGGAAAAGGUUAUGUGCAAUGUCCGUCUUGCUGUUUGUGUGAUUCCAAUUUUGUAUGACACAAUUUUUAAAAUAUUUUUUGAAAUCUGUGGUGGAGCAGCACAACAUUAUUACAUUAUAACACUAUUUUUGUAGGUUUCCUUACUCAAGUUGGUUAGUUUUAGGUUAAUUACACAUUUUUAAAGACGUUGUUUUUCCACCCAAUUAAAAAUAAAAGAAUUAAGAACGAGAGUGAAUUGGUCUAGUAUGGGUGCAUCAUUAAUAUGCACCAUUGAGUUUCCAACCUGAAAGCUAUAAACGUUUCGCAAAAAGGUGCGCAAAAGUCAUUAGAGGUGCACAAUAAAGAAAAUCAAAAGGAAAACAAGUGCAAAUUGAUUAUGGAAAUUCUAAGAAGUCACUUCUACCUGAAUUCUAAGUUCUUAGUUGCAUGACCGGGUAAAACCCGGAAAAUAUCAAUUGGUCGGUUCGCUAGACUUGCAAACAGUCGGCAGUAAUUAUAUUAAGCAGACUAAAAGCAAUUAGCGUCUGAGACUUGGCCGAAAUAAUAUAUGUGACGACUGCGUCUGGCACAGGUCUGGUGAGAGUCGACUACCUGAGUCGACUGUUUAUAGAUUAAACUGCAAUAGUGGAUGCUUAAUAUAAUAAAUAUAAAGAGACGGUAACAUUUCAUAUAUUUGCUGUUGUGCAAAAAGUAGCGUCAGUAGCGGUUAGCCCAAGUUCUAAGGCAAGCGUAGCACCGCCAAAACAACAACGCCAACUACGAUGACAACCCGACAACUGGCACGAAAGUCGGUUCAGUAACAACUCGUUUGCAUGUGGCAUCAUCAUCAUCAGCCACCGACCAGAGUGAGCCCAGAGGGCAGACGCUAUACCAGUGCUGCCUUAAUAUGUCUACCAGUCCCAGACGCAGACUCCCUUCGUUAUAAGCAUAUAGAACUGCAGAUGCUGCAAUUCAAAAGUCAGUUGAAAAUAUGACACAACUGGCGCCACCGCAGUACCAGACACAGGAGAAUUUUACCCCACCUCUUCGUAUAUACUCGGAGAAAUAUAGGCGUAUAUGCGUUUUUGCAACUGUAUAUACAUAUAUGCCAAUAAAUCAUUAUAGAAAUAAUAAG